This is a long non-coding RNA of Hyaena hyaena (striped hyena), 327 nucleotides long. RefSeq lists it as uncharacterized. The record is from RefSeq and is a predicted model, not a curated record. NCBI's taxonomy places the organism in Eukaryota, Metazoa, Chordata, Mammalia, Carnivora, Hyaenidae. The transcript is spliced from 2 exons.
CAGCAUCCUGGGAUUGUCUCCGUGCAUCCUGCUUGCCAUUUUCUUCUGGUGCCCUCACUUGGUUCUGAAGUCUUGCGGGACAGAGAUCACAUAUGACUCCAGGAAGAUGGAGAAUUCGGCCAAGUUGCUCAACAGAAUGUCUACAGCUACCAGCUCUGGUCACCUGUCAGAGGGCCAGAUCUCUGUGUGCUCCCUGUGUUAAACCAGGCAGAUGACCACUACGUGUCUGGAAGCCGUGAACCAAUCAGCUCUGCUCUCCUCUAUGUUAGUAAUCCUGGAGUGGGUUUCUGGAAUUGCCCCUCAUGUAAUAAAACAUUAAGGAAUCUA